This 497-nucleotide ribosomal RNA is filed under the name uncultured bacterium. RNAcentral's name for it is "bacterial SSU rRNA". It matches the Rfam family "Bacterial small subunit ribosomal RNA", at positions 903 to 1397 of the family's 1533-position model. The record is from RNAcentral.
AAAGGAAUUGACGGGGGCCCGCACAAGCGGUGGAGCAUGUGGUUUAAUUCGAUGCAACGCGAAGAACCUUACCAGGGCUUGACAUCCUGCGAAUUCUGUGGAAACACAGGAGUGCCCUUCGGGGAGCGCAGAGACAGGUGGUGCAUGGUUGUCGUCAGCUCGUGUCGUGAGAUGUUGGGUUAAGUCCCGCAACGAGCGCAACCCUUGCCCUUAGUUGCCAUCACGUAGAGGUGGGCACUCUAAGGGGACUGCCGGUGACAAACCGGAGGAAGGUGGGGAUGACGUCAAAUCAUCAUGCCCUUUAUGUCCUGGGCUACACACGUGCUACAAUGGCCGGUACAGAGGGUAGCGAAGGGGUGACCUGUAGCCAAUCCCACAAAGCCGGCCCAAGUUCGGAUUGCAGGCUGCAAUUCGCCUGCAUGAAGUCGGAAUCGCUAGUAAUCGCGGAUCAGAAUGCCGCGGUGAAUACGUUCCCGGGCCUUGUACACACCGCCCGU